AUGAGGGCCUGGCCACUCUCCGGUACUCUCCCAUAUUAUUUCUCCCAGACUCUUGGCAGUGAUUCCUACUCAAUUCCAGCUGUCAGGAUUCUCUCCCACCAAGAGGAAUGGCCUGCCCUGCAGAUCUCACGCCCACCAGCUGGUCCAGGGAGAACAGGGCCGAUUCCUGCGGCGUUCGAGAGGGGCCCUACAGGAGUGAAUGAGGCCCUGCAGGGAGCAGCUGGUGAGGAUGCCCAGGACCUGCAGGCAGGAGACCAAGAGAGUGCUCCAGUUCGGCAGCUAGCCUCCUUCAGUUCCUCCAGCUCCCCUGGCCUCACCCAAUGGAGCCCAUCAGCAGUGGGGGCCAUAGAUGAACUCCCACACCUCAGUAUUCCUCUCUCCAGGAAGAACAACUAUUAAUCUGGCUUGCCUCCCCUAGAGGUCUUGAAUGAGGAUCCAGAGUUAUCACAGGUGGAAAAGAACCCUAGGGAGCAGUAUUGUGAAUUAUAGGAAAUAUUUCACUUGCAGAGAAGAUGCUGGUCCUCCAGCUACAGGAGCACCGGCAUGCACAUCCUUUUACUGACUUCUGACCCAUUCAGGGUUUGCAGUUUGGUAGGGGCAAGGUCUGGAGGGCUGCUGUUGGCUGGAAAAGAAAAGGAAGGACAACAGGCCACAAAGAAACAGACCACACCUCAGUCCUUUUGGCUUUAGCUCCUGAGUUCAGCUUGUGGGCUACUGAAAACCACCUUUCUACACACUGAUUCCUCAGGUUUGUGAAGCCAGGCCAGGUAGGUCAUUCUGUGGCUCAGCUUGCUCGCCUUCAAAGGGAAUUCAGAUUAUAAUUCCAUAGAAAAGGGCACAGAGAUUGAAAAUGGGGAAAAUUCAUUCCCAAGGAGACCUGCAGAUCACAACUUUAGUAAGAUCACUGCUGGAGAAUGUGUUCUUUUAAGAGAUGGUACUAGCUCUAUGUAGAAAAUUAAUGCAAAAAAAAAAAAAUUCAUGACCAUACUCUAAAGUCCCAC
This 1001-nucleotide long non-coding RNA is filed under the name Fukomys damarensis (Damara mole-rat). RNAcentral's name for it is "lncRNA (ENSFDAG00000025720.1)". The record is from RNAcentral. Lineage: Eukaryota; Metazoa; Chordata; Mammalia; Rodentia; Bathyergidae.